Molecule: long non-coding RNA, 1506 nt
Filed under: Musa acuminata (dwarf banana)
Lineage: Eukaryota; Viridiplantae; Streptophyta; Magnoliopsida; Zingiberales; Musaceae
Description: long non-coding RNA (MACU_LNC004810)
Source: RNAcentral
GUUUAGUGAUAAGAGCAAGUGCAGUUAUUUUUGAACGCACAAUACAAUAUUGUGUUGCACUACAAACAGUAUAUUUCUAAUAGAGGCAAUAAAUGGAUUUUGUAAAAGUGAGACACAAGACUGAUUAUAAUAGGGACAGUUUCUUUGGACCUUAAAUAAUCCAACCCAUAGUACCACAUAGCAUUACAACUAGUUAAUUAGUAAACUUGUGACAAGACAAAAUUAGCUUAAGAGAGUACCUAUGCAAAAGAAUUAAUCAUUCAAACUCACAUCUUGAUAAACGACAUCAACAAAGCAUAACCUGAAGCUAAGCAUUGAGAAGCACAACUGAUCGAGACAAUUUGGCCCUCAGAUGUCGCUUAAUUUUCUUUCAUUUUUUUCACUUCUGAUCAACAGGAGGUGACUUCCUAUCAUUGGUCCAGAAACCAUGGAAACAAACUACUGUAUUCCUCCACUUCAAAACUACAGCAAGAUACUAUUUCUCAGGUGUCCUUCAAGUGAGCUGAUAAUUAACUACUACAUAUAUGCAUGAAUAGGAUAGCUUGAGACUCAUGAAAGACAUCCUUGAAAUUAUUACUUUCCAAUCCAUUAAACAACUAAAAGAUGAGAUUUAUAAAAGGUCAUGUUUCAUAAUUUUGUCCUAGCUAUAUAGCAAAAUAUUCCCUGCUAGAUAACAAAGUAUCUCAUAUAUUAGGCCAAUCCCAUGGCUGACUAUGAUUCCACUUUUCAGUAAGGUACAGAAAGUUCAGAUCCUGCUGGAGAAAUGCAUCCUCCACACUAUAGCAUCUAAAUUGAUCAUUAAAUUUCCUCCCUUAUAGAAAGAAACAGCUAAUGGAAUUUUCCAUGUACCAUCGCAGUACUUGUCCAACCUUUGUGGUCAUGCAGAAAUUCAGCUCAUAGAUCUUCUCAUUUGGACAAUUUUUAAAAUAAAAAUGAGAAGCAUCACUUAGAAUCAAUUGCCAAAACACAACCAAGUCUAUCAAAAAUUAAUCUUUGCCAGAUCUUCAUCCAAUAACAUCAGGUCAGUCCUUACAGAAGGGAAUAGUUCUAGAUCACAGCAAGUUCUGGUGAGUCAUAAUUUUUUUUCCCCUUAUCUAAGGACGAGUUCAAAAUUGACAAUUUUUAAAAUAAAAAUGAGACGCAUCACUUAGAUUAAAUUGCCAAAACACAACCAAUUCUAUCAAAAAUUAAUCUUUACCAUAUCUCCAUCCAAAAACACCAGAUCAGUCCUUACAGAAGGGAAUAGUUCUUGAUCACAGGAAGUUCUGGUGAGUCAUAAUUUUUUGUCCCCUUGUAUAAGGACGACUUCAAAAUUGACCAUCUGAACAAAAAAAUAUUUAGGAGUUUCUGGUUGCCACUACGUUAAAUGCAUGCUUACAUGCACUUACCUGCUUCUAAAUGCAUGCUUACAGUACAUGAACUUGCUUACCUAUUUAAUAAAUGCAUGCUUACAGUACAUGUACUUACCAACUUCAUAAAUGCAUGCUUACAGUACAUGUACUUACC